AUGAAUGAGUUCCCCCCCCCCCAAAGGAUGCAUGUUGAUUCAUGUAUAGUUUGUUUCCAAGUAGAAGGGUGUUACAAUAGUGUGCUGAAUUUGAUUCCAGAUAGUGGACAUAUCUUCAGGAAGUGUACGAGGAUACUGGAAGCAAUACAGGUUGUACUAACUGAAAAGAUAAUCUUCUACCAUUUGCGCGUGAGUUGUACUACCAAUGCUUUUUUAGCGUCUGCAGUUAGCCUGAAACCAUCGACAUGUUUUCUGAUUCAUUUAACCUUUGAAUUCAUAAUGAAAAUCAAUCUGGGUUUGUCCUCAGAACCAAUCUGGGAUUUUGAUAUCCUACUACCACACAUUUCCUCACGCUAUCGUAGUGAUAAAAAUGAUGCGCACGAAACAAACGUUAUACAGUGUUAUUUUUUUUGCGAAAUAACGUUAUACAGUGUUUGUCUAGCAUCCAUGUGCUAUUUGCACUUAUGCACUGUGAACAACACGUCCUCUUAUCAUUCGCCGGAUAGUGAUGUAAGACUGAGCUUCAGUGCCGUAACUGCAGAUGCAGUUGGGUCAGUGACAUGUGGGCCAGAAGCAGCAGUUAGGCAUCACACCUCCGAAGGGGCAUUGAAAACAAUGAACAGUAUAGUUUGA
This 633-nucleotide ribosomal RNA is filed under the name Triticum aestivum (bread wheat). Its description in RNAcentral is "partial small subunit ribosomal RNA". The record is from RNAcentral. Lineage: Eukaryota; Viridiplantae; Streptophyta; Magnoliopsida; Poales; Poaceae.